This 377-nucleotide unclassified non-coding RNA is filed under the name uncultured bacterium. RNAcentral describes it as "contains 16S-23S intergenic spacer region". The record is from RNAcentral.
UCCGGUUUGUCACCGGCAGUCUCCCUAGAGUCCCCGGCAUUAUCCGCUGGCAACUAAGGACAGGGGUUGCGCUCGUUGCGGCACUUAAGCCAACACCUCACGGCACGAGCUGACGACAGCCAUGCAGCACCUGUGCUAGCCCCUUACGGACACGGGCUUUCACCCGCUUUAACUAGCAUGUCAAACCCAGGUAAGGUUCUUCGCGUUGCAUCGAAUUAAGCCACAUGCUCCGCCGCUUGUGCGGGCCCCCGUCAAUUCCUUUGAGUUUCAGUCUUGCGACCGUACUCCCCAGGCGGGAUACUUAAUGCGUUAGCGCCGGCACCCGGGGACUAUGUAACCCCGGACACCAAGUAUCCAUCGUUUAAGGCGUGGACUAC